UGGGGUGUAGCACACUGGUAGAGUGCUUGGUUAGCAAGCAAAAGACCCUGGGUUCAAACCCCAACAUCACAC
This 72-nucleotide transfer RNA is filed under the name Marmota monax (woodchuck). It matches the Rfam family "tRNA". From Rfam's summary of the family: Transfer RNA (tRNA) molecules are approximately 80 nucleotides in length. Lineage: Eukaryota; Metazoa; Chordata; Mammalia; Rodentia; Sciuridae. RNAcentral also lists the same sequence under 1 other name. The record is from Rfam by way of RNAcentral.